RNAcentral lists this long non-coding RNA (1072 nucleotides) under Mytilus galloprovincialis (Mediterranean mussel). Lineage: Eukaryota; Metazoa; Mollusca; Bivalvia; Mytilida; Mytilidae. The record is from RNAcentral.
UGUCUCGAGAGGUUAAUAUAUAACCUAGUUUGAGGUGAAUAUCACGUGAAUUGUUGCCUCUGUUUGAAGACAAACUGACAAGGUCAUGGCAAAAACCGAAUAACAACAAUAAUAUCAACAAAGGUAUUUAACAACAAUAACAACAAUAAUAUCAACAAAGGUCUUUAAAAGUUAAACACGGUAGUUAUGAAUAUUGAGCAACCAUCUCGAACCCUUAACCAAAAACUAGGGUGGUUUAAGGUAAUCCGGAGGGGUAAGCAGUCGAAAAUAAUUAAGUUUUUCAUUCAGAUCUAAAAGAUAAAUUAAUCUGCCAAAGCGUAUUACAUCUUUAAAUUGUGGUGAGUGACGUUCGUUGAUUAAAUUGGGAAAACACCAGAUAAAAACCAAUAUGUCUUAUGGUACAGUUCAUAAUCAUGUUAUAAGAUCAGAGUAUCAUUUAUGACUUGACAUAUAUAAUAUCCUACAUCUUCGGUUUCUUUUUGAGGUUCAGAACAGUUAUUUAUAGAUGAAAUAUUAUUACAGAAUAAAUAGUAGAAGUCAGACUGUUAUCUAUCAUCCAAAUUACAGUAUUAUAUAUCCCUCAGUUAUCCUUAAACAUUAGUCAUGCAAAUUUAAAAAAAAACUUUGUAUUUUAAGCCAAAGCGUUAUCGGUUCCUCCUUAGUUUGUGAACUUCGCUAUUUUCGCCUUCACCUAUUAUGUCUGUUUGUUUUGUUCACACAUUAUUAUCAAUAUAAUGAAAUCUGAUGCAACUGUCAUACAGCUGAUGGGUUUAGCCAGCUAAAAAUCAGGUUUAAUUCACCAUUUUCCACAUAAGAAAAAAGUCAGGAAUAUCACAGUUGUUGUCCAUUCGUGGGAGAUGUUUGAGCUUUUGAUAUUGCUUUUUGAGGGACUUUCCUUUUUGAAUUUUCCUCGGAGUUCAGUCUUGUUUCGUUUUUGUACUUUUAACCCAAAAAAAUCCAACAACAUAUAUUUGAUACUUAAAUGCAUUAUAUAGUUUUGAAUGUCUAAUGAUUGGUUAAGCUUUAGUUUAUAAACGAAAUCAAAUUAGCAGAAAUUGUUAAUUUUAAAAAC